GCAACAAGUGUCCUGAGGUUUUGAAUCACAAGCAGAUCGUGGUGAGCGAGAGAGAACGCGAGGAAAGCUGGUGUGAGCGGCUACGAGAUAGAGAGAAAGAGAGAGAGAGAGAGAGAAAGAGAGAGAGAGAACAAGUAGUGGGAGGGGGGAAGCUUGACGAUUGGUGAGCCUCGAGUGCGACGAAGAGGAAUAGAGAGGUCGCCGUCGUACUUCGUCCAACGGAAAGAGACGAAAGGCCGAACAAGAGAGAGGAAGAGAGAAAGGUGGAGAGGAUCUAGAGAGAGAGAGAGAGAGAGAGAGAGAGAGUAAAAGAGAGAGAACAGAUAUGAUACCCUAGAGAGAGGUUUCCGCGAAUGUGCGCCGGAACAUGUGAGAUGACGUGUGGUAUCGAGUGUUCGACGCUUGAAUGCCUCGAUGCCUUCCCCCUGAGAACGGUAAAUAUCGCGUGUCACGCACAACAACCAUGGCAAGAGUUCGGUAGCCAUCUCCAUACGAAAGAUCGAAACUGAUCAGAUCGUACAAUUCUCUUCAGGAUUCUAUGGAUGGACGAGUUCUUUGCUCCGUUCAAUAAAGAAGUCCAUUUAAAAAUGGUGGAUGCCUCCUUCUCGAGGUCACAUAGGAAUAAAAUGGCGAUUCGAAGAAGUGGAGACCGCAGGCGCUAUCCUCGGACAAACUUGGCGACUUUAAGGAGUUCAUCCCGCAUGCGCGACAUUAUUGUAUUUGCCUGAACACCUGUUGAAGAAUAAAGUUGAACUUGUGGAGCUUACAGUUCGACUAAGUGGUUGCGGUCAGGCAAAUAACAAUACACCGAUAUCCAUCCGAAUGCCAUUUCAAGCUUCCUUUGCCUUUGACAAUUGAUUCGAUGAAUCGUAGACCCUAGAUCAACACGACGUAAUGAACAAGGAUUCCUCUCUCGUUGGACUUUUUCCGGGGGAAGAAAAUACCAGUGUGGUUACCGCGUUCCCGGUGGUAUUCUUCAACAAGAGAGGAAGGAAGAACUGAAAUGGGACGUCGGAGGGAGCUCUCGGUUAGAAGCGGCUGCUUUUGCCUGAAUUAAUCUCUUAGUGGUGGCUCCAGGAAGCGGUGAGCCGCGCCCCAACUUUCAACGAGAAAAAGAGAGGAAAGAAGAGGAGUAAGAAGGGAGGGGGUAAACGUUGCGAGGACGUCCGAGAAUUGACCGAGCUUGAUGCAACGUGAGAAACCGAAAUGUUCGACAUUUGAUAUUUUCGAAAAUCCGUGGAAUCUUCUUUGUUAACAAAUUAGCAAAAACAUUGAUGAUAUGUCAAAAUAAGGUUUAUUAUAGUCGUAAUGUCGUCAUAUGGAUUGUGUAAGAUAAAUUAACAAUUACAAUAGAAAAAACAAUAAAAGAAAAAUUUCAGAUACAAAUUCUCAUCCUGAAGGAUAUCAGAGACAAGAAAAUAACAGUUUGAGGAAAGACACGCAGUCUAUUUAAAAUGCUAUUUUUUAUUUGUUCGCCUUUCCAAGGACUAGUAAAGUAAAAGAGAGAUGAUAGUACAUAAGUGUGGUAAU
Molecule: long non-coding RNA, 1530 nt
Organism: Vespa velutina
Lineage: Eukaryota; Metazoa; Arthropoda; Insecta; Hymenoptera; Vespidae
Exons: 3
Source: RefSeq, a predicted model, not a curated record